AUCCUGGCGGCGAGUGGCGAACGGGUGAGUAAUACAUCGGAACGUGCCCAAUCGUGGGGGAUAACGCAGCGAAAGCUGUGCUAAUACCGCAUACGAUCUACGGAUGAAAGCAGGGGAUCGCAAGACCUUGCGCGAAUGGAGCGGCCGAUGGCAGAUUAGGUAGUUGGUGAGGUAAAGGCUCACCAAGCCUUCGAUCUGUAGCUGGUCUGAGAGGACGACCAGCCACACUGGGACUGAGACACGGCCCAGACUCCUACGGGAGGCAGCAGUGGGGAAUUUUGGACAAUGGGCGAAAGCCUGAUCCAGCCAUGCCGCGUGCAGGAUGAAGGCCUUCGGGUUGUAAACUGCUUUUGUACGGAACGAAACGGCCUUUUCUAAUAAAGAGGGCUAAUGACGGUACCGUAAGAAUAAGCACCGGCUAACUACGUGCCAGCAGCCGCGGUAAUACGUAGGGUGCAAGCGUUAAUCGGAAUUACUGGGCGUAAAGCGUGCGCAGGCGGUUAUGUAAGACAGUUGUGAAAUCCCCGGGCUCAACCUGGGGACUGCAUCUGUGACUGCAUAGCUAGAGUACGGUAGAGGGGGAUGGAAUUCCGCGUGUAGCAGUGAAAUGCGUAGAUAUGCGGAGGAACACCGAUGGCGAAG
This 642-nucleotide ribosomal RNA is filed under the name uncultured beta proteobacterium. RNAcentral describes it as "bacterial SSU rRNA". It matches the Rfam family "Bacterial small subunit ribosomal RNA", at positions 82 to 720 of the family's 1533-position model. The record is from RNAcentral. Lineage: Bacteria; Pseudomonadati; Pseudomonadota; Betaproteobacteria.